AGUGAACGCUGGCGGCAGGCCUAACACAUGCAAGUCGAACGGAAGCACAGUAAGAGCUUGCUCUUACGGGUGGCGAGUGGCGGAAGGGGGAGGAAAACAUCCCUAUCUACUUGUUCGAGGGGGGUAAAGUAGGGAAAAUUACGCUAAAACCCCAUACGACGUACGGGUGAAAGCAGGGGAUCUCCGGCCCUUGCACGAUUGAAUGACGCGAUGUCGGAUUAGUGAGGUGGCGGGGUAAAGGCCCAACAAGGCGAAGAUGCGUAGCGGGUCUGAGAGGAUGAUCAGCCACACUGGAACUGAGGAACGGCCCAGACUCCUACGGGAGGCAGCAGUGGGGAAUAUUGGACAAUGGGCGCAAGCCUGAUACAGCCAUACCGCGUGGGUGAAGAAGGCCUACGGGUUGUAAAGCCCUUUUGUUGGGAAGGAAGAGCAGCAGGUUAAUACCCCGCUGUUCUGACGGUACCCAAAGAAUAAGCACCGGCUAACUUCGUG
RNAcentral lists this ribosomal RNA (492 nucleotides) under uncultured bacterium. Its description in RNAcentral is "partial 16S ribosomal RNA". It matches the Rfam family "Bacterial small subunit ribosomal RNA", at positions 29 to 507 of the family's 1533-position model. The record is from RNAcentral.